GCUCUAGUAGCUUAAUGUAAAAGCAUCGGUUUUGUAACCCGGAGAUCGGAGGUUAAAUUCCUCCCUACAGCC
This 72-nucleotide transfer RNA is filed under the name Enteromius hulstaerti (butterfly barb). RNAcentral describes it as "tRNA-Thr". It matches the Rfam family "tRNA". Rfam says of the family: Transfer RNA (tRNA) molecules are approximately 80 nucleotides in length. Their secondary structure includes four short double-helical elements and three loops (D, anti-codon, and T loops). The record is from RNAcentral. Lineage: Eukaryota; Metazoa; Chordata; Actinopteri; Cypriniformes; Cyprinidae.